Molecule: ribosomal RNA, 533 nt
Filed under: fungal endophyte
Lineage: Eukaryota; Fungi
Description: eukaryotic LSU rRNA
Rfam family: 5.8S ribosomal RNA (bases 176-329)
Source: RNAcentral
UUACUGAGUUUACGCUCUAUAACCCUUUGUGAACAUACCUAUAACUGUUGCUUCGGCGGGUAGGGUCUCCGUGACCCUCCCGGCCUCCCGCCCCCGGGCGGGUCGGCGCCCGCCGGAGGAUAACCAAACUCCGAUUUAACGACGUUUCUUCUGAGUGGUACAAGCAAAUAAUCAAAACUUUUAACAACGGAUCUCUUGGUUCUGGCAUCGAUGAAGAACGCAGCGAAAUGCGAUAAGUAAUGUGAAUUGCAGAAUUCAGUGAAUCAUCGAAUCUUUGAACGCACAUUGCGCCCGCCAGCAUUCUGGCGGGCAUGCCUGUUCGAGCGUCAUUUCAACCCUCAAGCUCUGCUUGGUGUUGGGGCCCUACAGCUGAUGUAGGCCCUCAAAGGUAGUGGCGGACCCUCCCGGAGCCUCCUUUGCGUAGUAACUUUACGUCUCGCACUGGGAUCCGGAGGGACUCUUGCCGUAAAACCCCCAAUUUUCCAAAGGUUGACCUCGGAUCAGGUAGGAAUACCCGCUGAACUUAAGCAUAU